This 256-nucleotide ribosomal RNA is filed under the name uncultured archaeon. RNAcentral describes it as "partial 16S ribosomal RNA". It matches the Rfam family "Bacterial small subunit ribosomal RNA", at positions 521 to 776 of the family's 1533-position model. The record is from RNAcentral.
UAAUACGGAGGGUGCGAGCGUUACCCGGAUUUACUGGGUGUAAAGGGCGUGUAGGCGGUUUCUCAAGUCCGAUGCUAAAGGCCAGGGCUCAACCCUGGGAGUGCGUUGGAUACUGUGAGACUAGACGGUCGGAGAGGGUAGCGGAAUUCUCGGAGUAGCAGUGAAAUGCGCAGAUACCGAGAGGAACGCCAAUAGCGAAAGCAGCUACCUGGACGAUUUGUGACGCUGAGGCGCGAAAGCGUGGGGAGCAAACCGG